UGCAGGCUGCAACUCGCCUGCAUGAAGCUGGAAUUGCUAGUAAUCGCGGAUCAGCAUGCCGCGGUGAAUACGUUCCCGGGCCUUGUACACACCGCCCGUCACACCAUGAGAGUCGGGAACACCCGAAGUCCGUAGUCUAACCCGCAAGGGAGGGCGCGGCCGAAGGUGGGUCCGGUAAUUGGGGUGAAGUCGUAACAAGGUACC
This 204-nucleotide ribosomal RNA is filed under the name uncultured bacterium. Its description in RNAcentral is "partial 16S ribosomal RNA". It matches the Rfam family "Bacterial small subunit ribosomal RNA", at positions 1299 to 1500 of the family's 1533-position model. The record is from RNAcentral.